Molecule: ribosomal RNA, 1080 nt
Filed under: Triticum aestivum (bread wheat)
Lineage: Eukaryota; Viridiplantae; Streptophyta; Magnoliopsida; Poales; Poaceae
Description: partial small subunit ribosomal RNA
Source: RNAcentral
AUGUCUCCCCGCCCGCCUUCGGUUGGUCGCGCGGCCAUGGCGUCCAGCCCUCGUUCGGUCACCUUCGCCUACCGCCGCUCCGACGAGCGCCCCGUGGUUUCGGGCCUGGGCCUUUCCUCGAGCUCGGAGGGCUCGGAGACGAUGGGUCCGGCGCUCGACCCCGCACCAGCCGUGGUUGGGGACGCUGCUCCGGGGGCGCCGGCCUGGGUGCAGCCGCCGCCGACGAGGAAGGAGCUGUGGAGGCGUCGUCUUGGCCUCAGGGGGUCCGCUGCCCAUGGAGAGACCUCGGUGCGGCCUAGGAGGGAGGUCCCACCGGAGAUGGCGGGGCUAUGCUUCAGGUGCUUCGAGGAAGGCCACUUCCGGCGGGAUUGCACAAACGACAUCGUCUGCCUCCGUUGUGGCGGGUCAGGUCAUAGCUCCGAAGACUGCAAGAGGCCCCGCAGUCCGUCCCCGGAGGAGGAGCUCCGACGCCAGGUUGCGGCCAGGGUGGCUCGCAACGACCAAGCGCCCUCGCGCCGUGCUCCCUUCGCGGGCGGGGGAUCUUCGUCCUUGCUGCCCCCGCCCCCGCCGCCGCCGAUGCAGGCGGCCCCUGCCGCCUGGCCUCGCCUUCACUUACCCCGUCUGGUGGAUGCCCGACAUGAGGAGUUCAACCUGCAGGAGCUCUGCAUCACACGCUGUUGUCCUUCCAUGGCGGACUUGGAGAGGAGGCUGCAAUUCGCCAUGGUGGCAUACGCAGCUGGUGCCCGACACGAUAUCACCCUGGAGUGUGGCGAUUGGGGUGGUCAUCGGGAUCGAGCAGGAGUGGAUUUCCGUUCACAGGAGAUUCGCAACAUGGUGGCGGAGCGGCCAUUCGUGGAGCACCGGGGGAUCAGACUGUACUUCAGGCAAUGGAAUCGUCAAGCUCAGGCCGUUCACUCUGCGUUCUGCUUCAAGGUCUCCCUCAUUCUCGAGGGCAUCCCGUCGCACACCUGGGAGAGGGGGGUGGUGGAAGACCUGUUGGGCUCGUCCUGCAUCGUCGACAUGGUGGCCCUGGAGACCAGUUCGCACCGUGAUCUAUCGGCGUUCAAGCUUAUGGCUUAG